GUCAGUUUGUCAGCCUUGUACUUGAUGCUUCAUUGUCAGAGUGUGUUCUGGGAUUUAAGCCCUGUUCGUGUUGCGUGGUUUUUGGCUGCUUGGCUGCCUCUGCCCGUGGGAUCCCCCAGCAACCCAAGCAUCACUGGGUGCAGGGCACUGCUCACCUCCAGCCAAAGGAUGAGCAACUGUGGGUGCAAGUGUGAUAACGUAGGGCUGGGGCUUCUCCUGGAGGGGUUUCUCUGGGGGUCCCACAGCCAUCUCACUUGGGUUUCAGCCUUUCCUGGUGGAGUGACAGUUUCACAACCCUCUCCAUGCCGACACUCCAUUACCAGCGUCAGCACCGCAUUCCCCCGCCGCGCCUGGCAGCCAGCUCGUUACUUUUAGACUGCGUUAAUCAUGGGAGCCUCAUUAUAAGGGAAAGAUUCAUGAAGGCUUAUCUUCCUUCCCAAGGUCUGCUUCACAAGGGUGGUAGAAGGUAAUUUACUGAUUUUUAGUAACUGCCAUAUGUUGGCCUGCGAAGUCCUUGGGUGUGAAGAGCGCUCCCCAUACACACGUUCCCCCUCGUUCCGAAGCACUCAGCGAGGUGCUGCUGAUCUGCAGGGAGGCGGAACCAGAUUUUCUCUUCAAGCUUUGCUCCUUUUCCAUCAAACUUUCAGAGUUGAGCCCAAAGUUUUGGUAGGAAGAAAAAUGCAGUUAGGAACCCAAAUGGAGGCAUGUAACACCUCAUGGAGACUAUUAAAAACAAGCACUGGAAAGAAAGCGUGCCAUAAACCAAAGCCCUUCUGAAAGCUCUGAGUCUGUUACAUAUUAGACUGUACUCUUCUAAAACAGAAGUGACUGCACCAAAUAGGGGCCAUUAUUGUUUAAAUAUUUCCACUGGGAAAUGCUGCACGAAGCGAAGGUGCAAUCGCUGCCUGACGCAGGAUGCGCUGGAGAAAGUUGGCACCGGUGUGUUUGUAGGGAGUGGAAUAUGCUUGUAGAGAUUAUUCCAGAUUUACAAUGAUUAAUAAUGGAUUGGACAUGGCAGACUUCAAAGGGUUUGGCUGCCUUGCCGUGCGGUGGUAUGCGGUGUUAAAAUAAAACAGCAGAUUAUCUCCAGUGGUUCAAACAACUUUUUUUCUCAGGGAGCAGGACAUUUGCCAGGCUGAUACCAGCUCCAUGCCCAGGGCUGUACAUGGGGUAAUGGUGCAGGGACCUCCCCAAGAUGCAUGCACACGAACCUUGCUGAGCGCCCUGGUGCACAGCAGAGCUCCAUCCUCACCCUGCCUUGAGGCAUCCUACCUGUCCUACAAAGGACAGCAUCAGAAACUCAAAACUUGUAAAAUUAAGAAUAGCUCUAAAAUAAUUAUGCUCUCAAAGAUCAAAUGAGAUCCGGCGUGCUCUCUGCCUGCAUCCUUUCUUCCCUGCUCAUUGGUACUGGAUCAAGAAAAGAUGGGAAGUGCAAGCUACCACAGAGCUCCAGACGAUUGUAUUUUAUACAUGAUAAAUGUUUCAGUAUUAAUCAGACGUUAUUGAGCACUGCAGAUGGGAGGCAUCUCGAGCCGAUGAAGACGUUUUCCUGCUAUCUGCCAUUAUCUGGGUGUCUGGAAGAAUUCAGGAGGAGCUCUCAUCCCGCCUCCAGGCAGGGCUUAUGGGAUUUGCACCAGUCCCAGUUGCCAUGGAGAAAGUGUUAGAUAGCUUUAAUACAUCUGUGUGAAUCUCUCCCCGGAGUUUUCCCAUGACAAGCUGGACUGGAGGUAGCAAGUAAGAAGCUAUAAUCUUCCAACUGUAUGAAAAAAUGAUUGAUGGGAUGCAAGAAGUGCCAACAGCUCAGCAAGGCAGGGGCAGUGAAACGGGGGUGCAGAUGCCGGGGCUCUCCAGCUGCCUGGGCACCUCCAGCAGCCACAUCCUAAACUGGGGCUCCUCAAAAGGGGCAGGAGAGCAGAGGUGUGAUUCCGGAGGAAAAUAAGAUGGGUGGGGAUUAGAGAGCACCACACAACCCUGUGACAUGCAUUGGACCCAGGCUGAGCCUUCCCCCAACCCAUCAGCUCCUGUCAAUGUAUGCUUUCCCACUGCCUGCUCAGUGUGGGGUUCAGCUCUGUAAGCCCCCAGUGAGCAUCCUCCCAGGUCCCCACUCUCCUGCACCAUGUCCCUGACAGCCCCUCACCCGCAGCCCAGGCGUGCAUCUUGGUAUGUCUCCUUCUGUCAGUACAGCCAACGCUCCUGCUCCGCCGCCUCCUGAUUAACAUGCAUUCAACAGGAAUUAUAGCAGAGGAAAAGAAAUGUUUGUUUUUGCAUCAACGUAUUCCAAUUUGAAAAUCCCGAUGUUUACAUUUGCUUGUUUGCUUUUUAAGUUGAUGCAAGUACGAACGACUUAUAAAAACAAAGGAAAAUGUAAUUUUCUACGCUGCACGCCCAGAAGCACGUUUGUUCACCUGUGUAGCAGAAAUGCUAAGUCACAGCUUGCACCAGUGAUGGAGCACCUGGUGGGAAGGCAGGGCCAGCCCAGGAGAGCUCAGCUGCAUGCAAUGUACCUGAGUGACCAGAAGGGCUGGAGCCAGGAUCGACCCCUUCCCAGCCCUCAUUUAAGGGUUGGCAGUGGCAGCAAGGGGAUCUUGCAGGAGAUUGCUGUGUACUUGAGGCCUUCCAAGGAUCCAUCAAUUUGCCUGACUUUUCACCUGAAGACUGUGCGAUAUAGAACAUGAUGGGAUCAAGGAAAUUAGAGCUGGAAAUCUCUCAAUGAGAGAUGAAGUCACCGGAAAACUAUGAGGAUCGCAUCCUGCGGAGGGGAGGGAGACACAGCAAACCACGUGCUUCGAUGACAAGCUGGGGUUAAAAAGUAAUUAAUUAGCUAGUUUAUGGUGUUUUCCCAUCUGAAAUUAAAAACAAAAAUUAUGCAGAACAUAUGAGGUAAUUAGGAAAGCAGCAAGCUACAACACACCUUCAAAUGAGAGCUCUAAAAGGCAUGAUGUUUGGCAGCAGGUUUUUAAUGUAACAGCCAUUAAGGGCUUAUGCCCUCGAUUGCAUUCCUGGGAACAUCCAUCACACUCCAGCCUUCCCUUAUGGAUCCAGGUAGGGCCCUCGCAAAACCCAAAUUUUUAAUGUUCUUGGUGCUUAGCCAUGAUCAGAUUUCCCAUUUAAAAUCUAUUAGCCAAGAUGAGAAAAUUGGUUCAUAUUUUAUGUGCCUGGAUUAAUUUUUUUUCUUUGCAUUUACAACUGGCCCCUCGUGUUCCAUCCACCCCCUGAUGAUUUAGCUGUGCAAGAUGUUCCACCAAUUUAUUAGAGUGGAGUGUAUGGAGCAGGUCAUGCAUAUUAAGCAUCAAGUUUUUACUACAGUUGGUUCAAUAAUCUGAAAGAAAAACAUUUUUUUAAAAAAAACUAUUUUACUGUGUACCAGCUGCUGCUCCUGGAAGGGCCGUUCCUCUCACACUGGAUGAUACUUGUGGACAGCAGCAUCCCAACCCUGCUCUACCCAAACACCAACAGAUUUCACCACCUCUCUGGACACCAGAGCCUGUUCACCCAUGUGUCAACUUCAGCGAUGGGUGCUGGACUUGGGAGCUGUCCACACCGGCAGUGCUGAACUCUGGGUGCCACCCACAGCCGCUCAACUUUCCAAUUACACUUUUGCUGCUCGAGUUUCCAAUUAUGCCUUUGUCACCUGUAUCAGUCACUGUAAGUGUGUAUUUGCUGGCCCACCUUUGGUUAGAAUGGGAUUCAACUGACAACAUUUUUCUUGUGCUGAUCUAUGGAGCUGUUGCUGAGAUACUAACCCCAGCAUGCUGUGGGAGUAUGGCCCUGCUUCAUCCAUAGCAUGGGGUUUGUUCCCAUACUGUGAAUGCAAUCAGAGAGAAAAUAUUCCUGAGAUAUGGCUGGCUAAUUAACACAUUACCAAUUGCUGCUUCUCUGCUUCCAGAUUUCUUUGACUCGACAAGCUCCAAAUCAUAGUAAAAUCAGAAUUUUUCAGGACCAUGAAGCCCUGCACUUCCUUGCCAAGCUGGGCAGCUUGCUGUGCACUGCAGCUCAUGUUUACUUCCUACCAACACCAAAAAUAGCACCAGGGCUGUGACUGGCAGCCCAUCCCAGUAAUUAGCCACAGGAUGCCUGCUGCCCAUGGGAGCCAACGGAGGCUGUAACAAAAGGGAAAUGGCAGCAAACAGCCUGUGAGCAUGAGCCAAGCAUCUUCUGCUGCCGAAGCGCCUGCACUGCAUCCCAGUGGCUCUGCACUGGGGCCCUGGAUACGGUCUAUGCUGUCUCAUCUGCCGGCGUCUCCACACGAGCGCGACGUGCCGACGUGGAGUGCUCCCAGCUGUGUCCGUGCAUCAGAAUGACAACAGGGACCAUGAAGCAAAGCGCACCUGCACCAGAGCCGUUCUGCAGCCAGUGCUGAUCUUGGGCAGGGUUAAUCGCAUCAUCUUCUGGACACAGGAACUGCUACAUAAAUCUGAUCAGACCAAUAGGUUUAGGUGAAGCUCAGCCCAAAUUUAUGGAGAUUGUGGCUUCGGCACAGGAAACCAGGAUGCCUUUGGACCAAAGAUCUGAGCCGUGCGUUCCUCCACGCUUUCCCCCUUUCAAGGUAAGCCAAUGCCAGGUGAGCCAAGCCCAGUGCAAUAGAUGAAAUCAGAUUGGAGCUUCCUCCACUGCGUGACAGCUUCAAGCCACAAUUUCAGCAAAGGGGAGGAGCCAGCGGUGAGUUCUCCUCCCAGCACUGAACCUGGUGACAAGGACACUGGGGACACUGGUGGUGCCAUGGGCAAGGUGCAGGGACACAGAGAUGGCUCCUGAGGGACAAACACGGCAGAGAGUGGCAGCGUUGGGACAACAGGGACCCAGUAACACCGUGCACAAGGAGCCCUGCCACUAAGCCGGGCUGAAACCUGGAGAGGAGCCUUGCCAUCUGGUGGCAUUGAAGCCCUGCCUGCAGCAGGACCCAGCUUCUCAGGGCAGGAAUGAGUCUGGAAGCAAAGCUUGUGCCAGCCCCGGUAAAAAAGUAAAUUCAUUUUAAAAACUCAGUUAAGCAAAUGCUUAACUUUUAGGGUGUGAAUAAUGCCUCUGCCUGCACUGGGACUGUAGAUCUGCUCAAAGUUAUGCACGCUCUAAGUGCGUUUUGGAGCGGUGCCACCCGGCGCUCGCUGCCGUUCCAUAAUGAACUUGGUUCUUUGCAGGCUGCAAAAUGAGCACUCAAAAAUUCAGCUUUGGGGACCUUCAUAUUUUCCAAAGUGUUAAAGUGCUUUCUUUUUAAAUAGCAAGUUUCCAUUUAGAAAAUAGGCUGUUCCACAGAUAGCGUUAUACAUCUUCUGCUACCGGGGUGUUUUGCACAGCGCUGCACGGGAACAUCAUAAAAACCAUGUGCUUAGCAGAGUGAAACUGCUGACUCCGUUGCCCUGGUCAAAGGAAACUGUCCGUCUUCAUCACCUCCUCAUUCAUCAGGAGGGGGCUGGCAGUUUGGGGCCGUUCUGCACUGCUCAUCCCAGAUGCAGAGCUGGGAACGCUGAUUCCAUGGGAGCUCUUUGGGGAUGCGGAGCUGCAGGCUUGGCCCAAUCCAGGCACUGGAAGGCUCAGGUCAGCACUCACCUCUCCUCUUUUUCCACCCCAGGCAGCUCGCUGCCUCUCUCCCAGAGGUCACGUUGCCAUCAGACGAGGCAGAAUAGAGCUGCUUUAUUCUGACCAAGGUGGCUCUUGAAUUUUCGCACUACACUCAAAAUUUGUUCAACCGUGGGAUGGUGUUUUUCUCCUUGCCAGCUCUGGAAUAUCCACUGAGAAGCCAUUUAUCAGCACUGUGUGCGCAUCCAAUCUCCAGGGCCCUCUGCUUCACCUCCCAUUAUUGGCCAUCUCCUCAGCACUUAAUGAGGCAGGUAUUUUGUACAAAGAGCCUAAUGAAUUUGAAAAGUUUUUGACCCUUUUAUUGCAAUAUCUCAAAUAUCAUGCAUCUGGAAAAUGGUUUUAAUGUUGCAUAGACAAUUACAGCUGGGUGUAUUUAUUCUAGGCAUUCUGCUCUGCGAUGUUUAACAGUGGUGGGAGCGCAGCCAGCAAGCUGCAGCAGGGGGAUGCUCAGCGGGCAGGGCUCCGCCAUGGAGGGAGGCCUCCAUUCAAAUGCCCUUCCCAAUUUGGGACCAAUUUACAUUGGCUGUGGGACCCCUCUGGGCACAGCUGGGACAGAUCUCAGGGACGAUGCAUGGGUUAAAGAAGAGGUUUUGGACAACACAGGUUUUUCUACAAGGAAAUGAAGAGUUUGGUGACCUGGAGAUGACAGCAGCUUUUAAGGGCAAGGCAGCAAAUUGUCCCUCGUUCAGCAGCCGUGCUCCAGGGGGACACUUGGGCUGUGCCAGCAAUGCAUUGCUGCCCUGCCCGAGGCUGGCACUGGGGCUGAGGUUUGGGGUCAGUUUGGGAACUUCCAUCACUUUCCUGGGAUGGACGCAUCCGUGGGGCCAAACGCUGAUGAAUUCCCUCAAUUCUGCUCUGGGGAGAGGUGUGGGGCAGAGGGUUGGGGGUGUAUAGCCUCCUGCCCCCCACUCCCCCAGGCAGGUGGGAGGCCACAGCCUCCGCUCUCUGGGGUUUCUGUUUUAAGUUGCUCCUUUUCCUCCGUCUGCUUUGUCCAAGCACUUUGUUCCUCAGCCAUUUAUGUUUUAAAAGAAAACCAAGAUAAAAUCUCCCGUCCCCCAGGGGACACUAAUUGCUGUGACUUCGGAGCACGCUGGGCUGUAAUUAUAUUUUUUGCUCGGCGGCUGAUGGACCACAUCUAACCCUCAGGGGGAGGGGAGGGACGCACUGGCUCCAGAUGAGCCCCCAAGCACCAGGAGCGUGCUCCCCAUCCCCAUGCAAUGCACCAGGAGGGGCAAAACCAGGAGGAAAUGAAUGCACGUGGUGCGGGCAAAGCAAACCAUGAGCCAACAGAACGUGCACACGGCUUCUGCCAUCAGAUGCUUGCUGCACUCUCAGAAUGCUUUGUUGAAGAUGCAGCUCCAAGGCCAAGCAGAGCCCUCGGUGCUCCCAAGAUGGAACCCAUUCUCAUGUCACCAGCCCUGCUCCAUCCCCAUCACCCUUACACUACGCCCUGAGUCCAGCUGGUUGGUGUUUGCUGGCAGGGCGGACCCAUUAGCUCAUGGCAAUACCCACUAUAAUUUUCAGGUCUGUUAAAUAUGAUUUAAAUAUUUUUUAACUCAUUAGUAAUAAUUUAGAAUGGUCC
This is a long non-coding RNA of Numida meleagris (helmeted guineafowl), 7156 nucleotides long. RefSeq lists it as uncharacterized. The transcript has 5 exons. The record is from RefSeq and is a predicted model, not a curated record. Lineage: Eukaryota; Metazoa; Chordata; Aves; Galliformes; Numididae.